UGGUUUCCCAGGCGUGUCUGCCUCUCUGA
RNAcentral lists this non-coding RNA (29 nucleotides) under Rattus norvegicus (Norway rat). Lineage: Eukaryota; Metazoa; Chordata; Mammalia; Rodentia; Muridae. The record is from RNAcentral.